UGAAAUUCAAGGAUCAUGUAGAGAAAAUGGGACUUGGUUCCACUUUGUAAUGAUAUUGAAACUCUUAUAUAUAUUGUGAAAUUUUCUCAUUCAUGCGCAUAUUAUUUUGAGAAAAUAUAUUGUUGCUGGACCAAGAAUAAACAUAAGGUUUAUUCAUUAAGUAAUAUUACCAUAUUAAGAUUAAGAAACUAAAUACAUCGUGAUACAUAGAUGAUAAUACUCGCUUUUAGAGGACUUAUCGCUAUGAUUCGUGUAUUUAUUUCUUAAGAAAGUUGUUCAAGAAAAAUUAAUUCAAAUUAUUAAGAUAGACGUAUGGACCAAGUGGGAGAAUGUAACCGUUAUUAUUAAAUAUCUAAUUUAAUAAUAAUAUAACUGUUAUCACUAAGAUUCAUAAUUGAUUAUCAUGAAUUUCUUCAUUAAUUAUGGUUUAAAUGAUUUCAGUUUUUUAUUCUUUAAACAUGAAACCGUUAUUAUUAAAUUAAAUAUUUAAUAUUAUUAAAGUUCUUCAUUAUGGUCCAAACGUUACAAAUUUGAAUUAAUUCUUGAACGUUAUGAUUUGGUGAUGAUAAAUGUUCUUGAUGGGAGAACAUCUAUAUAUACAUGAGGAUUUUGGUCCCUUGGCUCAAUCAUCUCUUUGAAGCGAAAGGCUUUCCUACACCAUCUAAAGUGAGAGUUCUGAGCCGAGAAGAACCAAAGUUCAAGAAGAAACCUCUGCAGAAAUUCUUGGCGACAAUGGUUGGAGGUACGCUAUUUCGUUUCCGCAUUAGUUUAUUGUGUUUCUAUUACAAUGAUUUAGAAACACAAGUUGGCUUCAUCAAAAUUUCUUACA
This 829-nucleotide long non-coding RNA is filed under the name Musa acuminata (dwarf banana). RNAcentral describes it as "long non-coding RNA (MACU_LNC011390)". Lineage: Eukaryota; Viridiplantae; Streptophyta; Magnoliopsida; Zingiberales; Musaceae. The record is from RNAcentral.